RNAcentral lists this ribosomal RNA (268 nucleotides) under Enterobacter cloacae. Its description in RNAcentral is "partial 23S ribosomal RNA". It matches the Rfam family "Bacterial large subunit ribosomal RNA", at positions 2073 to 2341 of the family's 2925-position model. The record is from RNAcentral. Lineage: Bacteria; Pseudomonadati; Pseudomonadota; Gammaproteobacteria; Enterobacterales; Enterobacteriaceae.
CGGCAAGACGGAAAGACCCCGUGAACCUUUACUAUAGCUUGACACUGAACACUGGUCCUUGAUGUGUAGGAUAGGUGGGAGGCUUUGAAGCGUGGACGCCAGUCUGCGUGGAGCCAUCCUUGAAAUACCACCCUUUAAUGGCUGGUGUUCUAACGUAGACCCGUUACCCGGUUGCGGACAGUGUCUGGUGGGUAGUUUGACUGGGGCGGUCUCCUCCCAAAGAGUAACGGAGGAGCACGAAGGUUAGCUAAUCCUGGUCGGACAUCAG